RNAcentral lists this ribosomal RNA (766 nucleotides) under uncultured bacterium. RNAcentral describes it as "bacterial SSU rRNA". It matches the Rfam family "Bacterial small subunit ribosomal RNA", at positions 74 to 821 of the family's 1533-position model. The record is from RNAcentral.
CCCCUUUCGGGGGGUGAGUAAAGUGGCAAACGGCGUGUAGUAAUACAUGGGUAACCUGCCCUUAAGACCGCGAUAACAUCUUGAAGGAUGCUAUAGCGGAUAAGACUACGUGGUUGCGGCCAGUAGUAAAGAUGGCUCUAUAUAUAAGCUGUUGCUUAAGGAUGGGCUCAUGCGUCAUUAGCUUGUUGGUGGGGUAACGGCCUACCAAGGCUGCGAUGGCUAGCCGGCCUGAGAGGGUGAUCGGCCACACUGGGAUUGAGAUACGGCCCAGACUCCUACGGGAGGCAGCAGUGGGGAAUUUUGCGCAAUGGGGGAAACCCUGACGCAGCAACGCCGCGUGAAGGAUGAAGCUUCUUGGAGUGUAAACUUCUGUCAGGUGGGAAGAAAUGUCAGUGGGUUAAUACCCUGCUGACUUGACGGUACCAUCAGAGGAAGCCCCGGCUAACUCCGUGCCAGCAGCCGCGGUAACACGGGGGGGGCAAGCGUUGUUCGGAAUUACUGGGCGUAAAGAGCGCGUAGGCGGCCAGGUAAGUUAGGCGUGCAAUCCUGUGGCUUAACCACAGAACUGCGCUUAAUACUGCUUGGCUUGAGUACGGGAGAGGAAAGUGGAAUUCCAAGUGUAGCGGUGAAAUGCGUAGAUAUUUGGAGGAACACCAGUGGCGAAGGCGGCUUUCUGGACCGAUACUGACGCUGUGGCGCGAAAGCUAGGUGAGCGAACGGGAUUAGAUACCCCGGUAGUCCUAGCCGUAAACGAUGGACACUAGGU